RNAcentral lists this long non-coding RNA (435 nucleotides) under Vitis vinifera (wine grape). RNAcentral describes it as "long non-coding RNA (VVIN_LNC006353)". Lineage: Eukaryota; Viridiplantae; Streptophyta; Magnoliopsida; Vitales; Vitaceae. The record is from RNAcentral.
GCAUGAUAUCUUCAAAUGAAAUCAAAGAAAAGCGAGAGAAUAACAGAGCAAACACGUUCGAGCAGUGAAUGAAAACUAAAACCCAUAAGGAAAAUGCAUGAAGAACAAAGGUGAUGAGAAAUAUGAUCAGAAAAACCUACGAGGCUCGCACCUGGGAGGGCUUCUUCCCAAAAACAAAUCAGAAAACCCGUGGGUUUGGCUCCUGCUACUCUGCUCCGCUUUCCUCACCCCCUUCCUCUCUGCAGAUCCCUCGCCAGCACUCUCCAAAGGAUCCUCCUCUAACCCUCUGUCCUCCUUCCUUCUUUUCUGUCCCCUCUGUUCCCCUCUUCUUGCCGCAAGCCAGCUGUAUCCCGUCCCAUCUGCAGCCCCCAAAAGCUCUGCCUUCUCCCCUGCAGCUUCAGAGCCCCCAAACACAGCCCUCCCAUCAUGUCGAGC